GAGUCAAUUACACGGCUCAUUCUGGACCAAAGAAAUCAUGUGAUGGCACCAAACAGAUAUUCUACUGUCGAAGAUCAGGUGUUCAGUCAACGAAGAUUUCCAGUAAGAGUCGUGCAGAAAAGAGCCAAGGUACCUGUAAGAUGGGGUUUUACUGCACCUCAUCAAUUGAAGUUGUGAAGAAGGAUGAAAAGAUUUGUGUGACCUUUUACUCUGACCAUCGUGAUCACAACCUUGAUUUUAACAGCCAGGUUCACAUGACACUUCCCAAGAGUGAACAGGAUAAGAUUGCAGCUUGUGAUGAAAUCAUCAUAUCUGCAAAGCGUAUGAUUACACAAGGGAUCGAACAUGACAUAAUUUUGGACAGAGUGCGGGAGUCAGCAGGCAGUAAUCGAAUGUCUUUCUUAGAAAAGAAGGAUAUAGAUAAUAUUUGUGUUAGGUAUGGAUUGAAUAAAACCCACAGCAGACACUCUGAUGACAGCACAAGUGUACGAUUAAUUGUUAAAGAAAUGCAGGAUGCCAAUGAAGUCUUGUAUUUCAAAGAUCAAGGAGAUGUAGAUUCAGAUAAUCCUGAAAUACCAUCCAAAGAAUUUGUAUUAGGUUUUAUGAAAGGGGGACAAGAAUUAAUAUUUUCUACCCAGAUGAAAUCUUGUGACAAGAUACAGGUAUGCAUGGAUUCAACUCAUUGCAUUAGCCAAUAUUCAGGAUUCCAGAAAUAGCCAAACCUAAGGUGUCAACAGAAGAAAUUAAUAUGAUUCAUGAUGUAAGUAAUGAGGAAACCUAUGAUAGACAAGUUGUGAAAUACCAGGAACAAUUGAAAAACAAAAUUAUGUUACAGCUUCUCCCAAAAUGUAGUGAAAGUAAGGACCUUCAAGUUUUGAAAACUGCUAAUAGCUUGUUGUGUAAGUUAAUUGCAACAUUAGAUGCUGGCACGAGUUAUCCACCAAACAACAGUAACUGGCCUGUGGAUGUGACAACUGUUUCAGAGCCAGGUAAUAAAAAGUGUGUUAAGCAAGACCGGUUGUAUUCGACAAGGAAGAGAAAACGAGAAAAUAUAGGUAUGUGCUUAAAAAAGCCUAGUUCAAAAGCAAGAUUAAUAAUUGGGGAGAGUCUUGCAAAGUCUGAGUCUGAUGUAAGUGUUCCAGUACUAUCAGAAGUUAGAAUAGACGAUGAACAUAGUUAUUGAGGUAUUAAGGUCUAAGGUGUGAUCGAAAAAUGUGUCAAGUUAAAGGUGUACCUAUCUCAUGUCUUUCUACCAUAGUCCACAAAUUUUUCAGUAACCCUUUGUAUUAAAAGCAAUGCUAGUGUAUCAAGGUAAAAAAAAAGUAGAAGCUUUUGUCUUAUGUAUUGAAUCCUAUGUCCACUGAGUGGUCUGUUUACUUUAAUGUUUGAGGAUUAUUAUAUUAACCAAAGCUGGGUAUACUUGUAUGUAGUAUGUAAUUCUGAUAUGUGUCUGAUAUGUGGUUUUUGGCACUGGC
Long non-coding RNA from Eriocheir sinensis (Chinese mitten crab), 1475 nucleotides. RefSeq lists it as uncharacterized. Lineage: Eukaryota; Metazoa; Arthropoda; Malacostraca; Decapoda; Varunidae. The record is from RefSeq and is a predicted model, not a curated record. The transcript has 5 exons.